RNAcentral lists this ribosomal RNA (690 nucleotides) under uncultured Pseudomonas sp. RNAcentral describes it as "bacterial SSU rRNA". It matches the Rfam family "Bacterial small subunit ribosomal RNA", at positions 8 to 688 of the family's 1533-position model. The record is from RNAcentral. Lineage: Bacteria; Pseudomonadati; Pseudomonadota; Gammaproteobacteria; Pseudomonadales; Pseudomonadaceae.
AGAGUUUGAUCCUGGCUCAGAUUGAACGCUGGCGGCAGGCCUAACACAUGCAAGUCGAGCGGUAGAGAGAAGCUUGCUUCUCUUGAGAGCGGCGGACGGGUGAGUAAAGCCUAGGAAUCUGCCUGGUAGUGGGGGAUAACGUUCGGAAACGGACGCUAAUACCGCAUACGUCCUACGGGAGAAAGCAGGGGACCUUCGGGCCUUGCGCUAUCAGAUGAGCCUAGGUCGGAUUAGCUAGUAGGGUGAGGUAAUGGCUCACCAAGGCGACGAUCCGUAACUGGUCUGAGAGGAUGAUCAGUCACACUGGAACUGAGACACGGUCCAGACUCCUACGGGAGGCAGCAGUGGGGAAUAUUGGACAAUGGGCGAAAGCCUGAUCCAGCCAUGCCGCGUGUGUGAAGAAGGUCUUCGGAUUGUAAAGCACUUUAAGUUGGGAGGAAGNGCAUUAACCUAAUACGUUAGUGUUUUGACGUUACCGACAGAAUAAGCACCGGCUAACUCUGUGCCAGCAGCCGCGGUAAUACAGAGGGUGCAAGCGUUAAUCGGAAUUACUGGGCGUAAAGCGCGCGUAGGUGGUUUGUUUAAGUUGGNAUGUGAAAUCCCCGGGCUCAACCUGGGAACUGCAUUCAAAACUGACUGACUAGAGUAUGGUAGAGGGNGGUGGAANUUUCCUGUGUACCGGUGAAAAUG